UACAGAGGUCUCGAGCGUUGUUCGGAUUCAUUGGGCGUAAAGGGUGCGUAGGCGGCGGGGCAAGUCUGAUGUGAAAUCCCGGGGCUCAACCCCGGAACUGCAUUGGAUACUGCCUUGCUUGAGUACUGGAGAGGAGACUGGAAUUUACGGUGUAGCAGUGAAAUGCGUAGAUAUCGUAAGGAAGACCAGUGGCGAAGGCGAGUCUCUGGACAGUUACUGACGCUGAGGCACGAAGGCCAGGGGAGCAAACGGG
This 253-nucleotide ribosomal RNA is filed under the name uncultured bacterium. RNAcentral's name for it is "partial 16S ribosomal RNA". It matches the Rfam family "Bacterial small subunit ribosomal RNA", at positions 524 to 776 of the family's 1533-position model. The record is from RNAcentral.